RNAcentral lists this transfer RNA (87 nucleotides) under Deltaproteobacteria bacterium. RNAcentral describes it as "tRNA-Ser". It matches the Rfam family "tRNA". Rfam says of the family: Transfer RNA (tRNA) molecules are approximately 80 nucleotides in length. Their secondary structure includes four short double-helical elements and three loops (D, anti-codon, and T loops). The record is from RNAcentral. Lineage: Bacteria; Pseudomonadati; Myxococcota; Myxococcia.
GGAGAGGUGGCCGAGAGGUCGAAGGCGGCAGACUCGAAAUCUGUUGACCUGGCAACAGGUCCGAGGGUUCGAAUCCCUCCCUCUCCG